Molecule: long non-coding RNA, 786 nt
Filed under: Marmota monax (woodchuck)
Lineage: Eukaryota; Metazoa; Chordata; Mammalia; Rodentia; Sciuridae
Source: RNAcentral
CCCGGGUUCGAUCCUCAGCACCACAUACAAACAAAGAUGUUGUGUCCACCGAAAACUACAAAAUAAAUAAAUAAAUAAAUAAAAACACAACAGGAACUGGGGACUUGACAGGAAGCAGAGACUUUAUGAGAACAAGAAGUAGAGAUAUAACAGGAAAAUGAAGGCCUUACAGACACAGGAAGUAAAGGCUUAAUGAAGACUCAACAGGAAGUGAGGAUUCAUGGAUCAGGAAGUAGUGGUUUUCCUGAAAGUGAAGGCUUUAUGGGAACAGAAAGUGAGAGAUUGAUAGGGAGCAGAAGCUUCAUGAGGACAGGAAGUAGAGACAUAGCAGGAUGAUGGAAGCUUUAUAGAAACAGGAAUUGGAAAUUUGACAGGAAGUGGAGGUUUUAUGGAGACAGGAAAUAGAGACUAGAUAGGCAGUGGAUGCUUUAAGGGGACAGGAAAUGGUGGCCUGCCAGGAUUGCAGGCUGUGUGGACAGGAAGUAGAGACAUUUCAAGAAGUGAAAUUUUUAUGGGAACAGGAAAUGGGGCUUAAUAGGAAAGGGAAGUUUUGUAGGGAUAGGGAACAAAGUCUUGAUAGGAAGGACAGGAAGUAGAGGGUUUGUGGUAACAGGAAGUGGAGACAUUAUGGGGACACGAAGUGACAGUAAGUGGAGGGUUUUUAGGGAUAAGAGUGAAAAGAUUGUGGGAACAAGAAGUGGGGGCUUUUUCCACAUAGGAAUUGAAGGAUUCACAGUAAGUAGAAGCUUUGUGAGGUCAAGAAGUAGAGAUAUAACAGGAAGAGGA